UACGAAGGGGGCUAGCGUUGCUCGGAAUCACUGGGCGUAAAGCGCACGUAGGCGGAUCUUGAAGUCAGGGGUGAAAUCCUGGAGCUCAACUCCAGAACUGCCUUUGAUACUGGGGAUCUCGAGUCCGGAAGAGGUGAGUGGAACUCCGAGUGUAGAGGUGAAAUUCGUAGAUAUUCGGAAGAACACCAGUGGCGAAGGCGGCUCACUGGUCCGGUACUGACGCUGAGGUGCGAAAGUGUGGGGAGCAAACAGG
RNAcentral lists this ribosomal RNA (253 nucleotides) under uncultured bacterium. Its description in RNAcentral is "partial 16S ribosomal RNA". It matches the Rfam family "Bacterial small subunit ribosomal RNA", at positions 524 to 776 of the family's 1533-position model. The record is from RNAcentral.